CCCUGGCUCAGGACGAACGCUGGCGGCAUGCCUAAUACAUGCAAGUCGAGCGGACUUGAAGAGAAGCUUGCUUCUUUGAUGGUUAGCGGCGGACGGGUGAGUAACACGUAGGCAACCUGCCCUCAAGUUUGGGACAACUACCGGAAACGGUAGCUAAUACCGAAUAGUUGUUUUCUUCUCCUGAAGAGAACUGGAAAGACGGAGCAAUCUGUCACUUGGGGAUGGGCCUGCGGCGCAUUAGCUAGUUGGUGAGGUAACGGCUCACCAAGGCGACGAUGCGUAGCCGACCUGAGAGGGUGAUCGGCCACACUGGGACUGAGACACGGCCCAGACUCCUACGGGAGGCAGCAGUAGGGAAUCUUCCGCAAUGGGCGAAAGCCUGACGGAGCAAUGCCGCGUGAGUGAUGAAGGUUUUCGGAUCGUAAAGCUCUGUUGCCAGGGAAGAACGCUUGGGAGAGUAACUGCUCUCAAGGUGACGGUACCUGAGAAGAAAGCCCCGGCUAACU
Molecule: ribosomal RNA, 506 nt
Filed under: Paenibacillaceae bacterium CL6.68
Lineage: Bacteria; Bacillati; Bacillota; Bacilli; Caryophanales; Paenibacillaceae
Description: bacterial SSU rRNA
Rfam family: Bacterial small subunit ribosomal RNA
Source: RNAcentral